This 216-nucleotide ribosomal RNA is filed under the name Martinezella tropici. RNAcentral describes it as "Rhizobium tropici partial 16S ribosomal RNA". It matches the Rfam family "Bacterial small subunit ribosomal RNA", at positions 94 to 327 of the family's 1533-position model. The record is from RNAcentral. Lineage: Bacteria; Pseudomonadati; Pseudomonadota; Alphaproteobacteria; Hyphomicrobiales; Rhizobiaceae.
AGCGGCAGACGGGUGAGUAACGCGUGGGAAUCUACCCUUUUCUACGGAAUAACGCAGGGAAACUUGUGCUAAUACCGUAUGAGCCCUUCGGGGGAAAGAUUUAUCGGGAAAGGAUGAGCCCGCGUUGGAUUAGCUAGUUGGUGGGGUAAAGGCCUACCAAGGCGACGAUCCUAAGCUGGUCUGAGAGGAUGAUCAGCCACAUUGGGACUGAGACAC